AUAAGCACAUAAAGGGUACACGGUGGAUGCCUUGGCACAAGAAGCCGAUGAAGGACGUAGAAGCCUGCGAAAAGCCUCGGGGAGGUGGCAAACAACCUUUGAUCCGGGGAUGUCCGAAUGGGAAAACCUAUGCGUCGAAGAGACGUAUGCUUUAUGGAUUAAGUCCCAUAAAGACGGGAACCAUGCGAACUGAAACAUCUCAGUAACAUGAGGAAAAGAAAGCAACAUGCCGUUAUCUUUAUCUUGUAGCUUAUAGUUGAUUGGGAAUCUCCUAAUCAGCUAAUAAGCUAAUAAGCUGAAGUUACGGUUGCGAUUCCCCUAGUAGUGGCGAGCGAACGGGGAGUAGUCUAAAUUCAUUAAUCUCCAUUUGAAAUUGGGUUCUAACGAAUUCAGUUUCAAGCGAACGGGUUACGGCCCUGAUGGUUGAUGUUGGUAAUAAGAGAAACUUUUACCUUGCCGUAAACUUGGUAGGAAAUAAUUUGGGUUGGUUAGCCGAACGGUCCUGGAAAGGCCGGCCAUAGAAGGUGAUAGCCCUGUAGCGUGAAAAUCUCCAAAAUUUCUUAAGUUUUUUCUUAAGUACGGCCAGCCACGUGAAAUCUGGUCGGAAAUCGGGUUGACUACAAUCCAAGACUAAAUACUUCUUGUGACCGAUAGUGAACAAGUACCGUGAGGGAAAGGUGAAAAGCACCCCGGAGAGGGGGAUGAAAUAGUAUCUGAAACCGUGUACUUACAAAGAGUGGGAGCCCAUUAACCAAUGCUUCGCAUUGAAAUUUUCAAGUAAUUAUUUUCAGUUUUCAUUAAAUUUUUAAUGUUUCAAUUUUAAAAAUUGAUUCAUUAGUCAUUGAUUGAAAAUUGAGAAUUAAAAAUUGGAAAUUCCACUGCGAAGCAGUGGUGGGGUGACCGCGUGCCUAUUGAAGAAUGACCCAACGAGUUAAUGUAUAUCGCUUGUUUAAGGUUUCCAAAAACCGAAGACAUAGUGAAAGCGAGCGUUAAUAGCGCGUAAUAAUCAAAUUGCUUUGCAAUUUGGAAUUUACAAUUUAAAAUUUUCGCAAGUUCUCGACAAGCUCGAACAAUAUUAAUUUUUCGAGCGGAUCCGCCGGAGGCGGAGGAGUCGAGAAGUAAAAAUUGGAAAUUAAAAUUGAUAAUUCCCAUUUGCAAAGCAAGUGGGUUAUAGGCGGUAUGUAUUAGACCCGAAACCGGGUGAGCUACUCAUGACCAGGAUGAACUCUGGGUAACACCAGAGGAAGGUCCGAAUGCGUUGAGGCUGCAAACUCUUGCAAUGAGUUGUGAGUAGUGGAGAAAUUCCAAUCGAACCCGGAGAUAGCUGGUUCUCCUCGAAAUAGCUUACAGGCUAGCCUUUGAUGUUUCUUAGGCAGGUAGAGCACUGAAUUGGUCUAUGCGGAGAAAUCUGUAGGACCGAAUCAAACUCCGAAUUGUCUAAGCCAAAAUCAGGGAGUCAGACCGUGGGGGCUAAGCUCCACUGGUCGAAAGGGAAACAGCCCUUAUCAUCAUCUAAGGUCCCAAAGUCAAAGCUAUAGUGAAAAGGAUGUAUUUGACCUCAGACAGAUAGGAUGUUGGCUUAGAAGCAGCCAUCAUUUAAAGAGUGCGUAACAGCUCACUAUCAGAGCCCGGUUCUUUCUUCGGAAAGAGCUGGGGGGUCGAAUGCGCCAACGAUUAAAAGGGGCUAAGCUUUGCACCGAAGAUAUGAAUUGUCUGCCUUCGGGCAGGCAGUGGUAGAGGAGCGUUCUUGUUCUGUCGAAGCUGGAUCCGCGAGGGCCAGUGGAAGAACAAGAAGUGAGAAUGUUGGGAUAAGUAAUUAAUUUGCAGGUGAGAAUCCUGCACACCGAAAGUCCAAGGUUUCCUGGGCAAUGCUUGUCAGCCCAGGGUUAGUCGAUCCUAACUUUGCACGCGAAAGCAUGCAGGGGAUGGAAAAUACGGUUGAUAUUCCGUAACCGUAAUCAUAUUAUCCAAGGAGCAACGCAUUUGGGAGAAACGAGCAUAAUUUGACUUAUUGUGCUCCUGUACUUAGGCGGGUUUUCCAGGCAAAUCCGGAAGACCAUUUGUGGCUUAUCUUUACCCUAACUUCGGUUAGAAUGAGGUAGGUUCACUGCAACACCAAAGGUAUGGGAAGACUCUGGAAACGGAGGAUAUGUUUUGACUCAAGUGCCUAGAAAAACUUCGUGGUCACGUAUGAUUGCGAUCGUACCGCAAACCGACACAGGUGGACGAGGAGAGAAUCCUAAGGUGAACGAGAUAAUGUUCGUUAAGGAACUCGGCAAAACAACGGCCGUACCCUUGGUAUAAGGCCUCCCCCCACUUUGUCUGGAGCAGUAAUUAAAACUAAAGAUUUUAGUUUACUUACUGAAACGGACAAAGUGGGGGGCGCAGUAAAAGACUCCUUCCGACUGUUUAUCAAAAACUUAGGUCCCUGCAAAGCCGCAAGGCAAAGUAUAGGGGCUGAUGCCUGGCCAGUGUCAGAAGGUCAACGGUGUUUGGGCAACCGAACACCCUAAGCCCUGACGAACGCCGGCGAUAACUAUAAUCGUCCUAAGGUAGCGAAAUUCCUUGUCGUGUAAGUUACGACCCGCACGAAUGGCAUAACGAGCUGGAGACUGUCUUAACGAACACCUCGAUGAACUUGCAAUAACGGUAAAGAUGCCGUUUACACACAGCAAGACGGAAAGACCCUAUGAAGCUUUACUAUAGCGUGUCAUUGAAACAAUGUUUUUUCUGCUUAGAAUAGGUGGGAGACUUUGAUGUCCCGAUUCUGGUCGGGACGGAGUCGCAAUAUGAAAUACCACUCUGAACAAGUUUUGUUUCUAACCCUGAUUUAACUUAUCGGGGAACAGUGGCUCGUGGGUAGUUUAACUGGGGCGGUUGCCUCCUAAAUUGUAACGGAGGCGUUUAAAGGUCAGCUAGGCUCGGAUGGAAAUCGAGCCGAUAGUGCAAACGCAGAAGCUGGCUUAACUGCAAGACUGACAAGUCGCGCAGAUGCGAAAGCAGAAGUUAGUGAUCCGACGACCCUUAGUGGUAAGGGCGAAGCUCAUCGGACAAAAGUUACUCUAGGGAUAACAGGCUGAUCCUCUCCAAGCGCCCAUAGCGACGAGAGGGUUUGGCACCUCGAUGUCGGCUCAUCACUUCCUGGGGGUGAAGAAGCUCCCAAGGGUUCGGCUGUUCGCCGAUUAAAGUGGUACGCGAGCUGGGUUCAGAACGUAAAUUACAUUGCGUUCUACUGCAGAAAUGCAGUAUAAUAAAUCUGACUAAUAUCGGUGAAACCCUACCAGAUUUAAACUGGUCUAGAGGGCAAUACCGAGGGAAGAUCAGAUUUGUGACAAACGAAGAAAAAGCUUAUAUAGCAGGAUUUCUCGAUGGUGACGGAUGCGUAAUGGCGCAAUUGGUGCGCCGAAAAGAUUAUAUUUACGGAUUUCAAAUUCGUACUAGUAUUGUCUUUUAUCAGAAGCAGACCCGUCAAGAAAUUCUUUCUUGGCUAAAAGAUAAAUUAAAUUAUGGAUAUAUUCGACAACGCAAAGAUGGAAUGACGGAAUAUACCAUAGUGGGCUUUAAAGAAGUUCGGGAAACAUUGGAGCUUCUUCAAUCAUUUCUUCGUUUAAAACGAGUCCUGUCGAAGUUGGUGUUAGAACUUAUAAGGUCUCAUCCUAAAAACAUGAGCCCGAAAGAGUUAGUGCGUUUAAGUUAUUUAGUGGAUAAGACCGCUAAAUUUAAUUAUUCGAAAAAACGUACUAAUACCAGUAAGACGAUAAAGGAUUUUUUUAAACACAAAUCUUUUCCCCGUAGAGACUUCAAGCUAGAUUCAAGAAUUUAGCUUGGGAUAGUCCUGUAAAUUCAGGAUUAUAAUACGUCGGCUCCUCCUCUUAAGUUCCUUAAGAAAGGAUGAAGAUAUAGUCCAUGCCAUCAGUAAUGGUGGAUUAACAUGCGUGAGACAGUUCGGUCCUUAUCUGCUGUGUGUGUUCGAAACUUGCGUGGGCGCUUCCCUAGUACGAGAGGACCGGGAAGCAUGAACCUCUGGUGUACCCGUUGUUCCGUCAGGAGCAUGGCGGGGUAGCUAACGUUCAGUUUGGAUAAGCGCUGAAUGCAUAUAAGCGCGAAGCCGUCCAUCAAACUAGGUUUCGUUUCCGCCUUUUCGGCGGAGAAAGAUUCGCGGAAGACUACCGCGUUAAUAGGCUACAGGUGUAAGCGUAGUAAUACGUUCAGCCGAGUAGUACUAAUCAAUCAAAAGCUUA
RNAcentral lists this ribosomal RNA (4241 nucleotides) under Candidatus Doudnabacteria bacterium CG10_big_fil_rev_8_21_14_0_10_41_10. RNAcentral describes it as "bacterial LSU rRNA". The stretch from base 1 to 3251 matches the Rfam family "Bacterial large subunit ribosomal RNA". The record is from RNAcentral. Lineage: Bacteria; Candidatus Doudnaibacteriota.